AGUGAACGCUGGCGGUAGGCCUAACACAUGCAAGUCGAACGGCAGCACAGUAAGAGCUUGCUCUUACGGGUGGCGAGUGGCGGACGGGUGAGGGAUACAUCGGAAUCUACUUUUUCGUGGGGGAUAACAUAGGGAAACUUACGCUAAUACCGCAUACGACCUACGGGUGAAAGCAGGGGAUCUUCGGACCUUGCGCGAUUGAAUGAGCCGAUGUCGGAUUAGCUAGUUGGCGGGGUAAAGGCCCACCAAGGCGACGAUCCGUAGCUGGUCUGAGAGGAUGAUCAGCCACACUGGAACUGAGACACGGUCCAGACUCCUACGGGAGGCAGCAGUGGGGAAUAUUGGACAAUGGGCGCAAGCCUGAUCCAGCCAUACCGCGUGGGUGAAGAAGGCCUUCGGGUUGUAAAGCCCUUUUGUUGGGAAAGAAAAGCAGCAGGUUAAUACCCCGCUGUUCUGACGGUACCCAAAGAAUAAGCACCGGCUAACUUCGU
RNAcentral lists this ribosomal RNA (491 nucleotides) under uncultured bacterium. Its description in RNAcentral is "partial 16S ribosomal RNA". It matches the Rfam family "Bacterial small subunit ribosomal RNA", at positions 29 to 506 of the family's 1533-position model. The record is from RNAcentral.